CUGGAGUUGAUGCAUCAAAUCAAACUGACUUGCACUGAUGGUCGUUUGUAUUCAUACUGUCUGAUCCAG
Dunckerocampus dactyliophorus (ringed pipefish) is the source of this 69-nucleotide small nucleolar RNA. The record is from RefSeq and is a predicted model, not a curated record. NCBI's taxonomy places the organism in Eukaryota, Metazoa, Chordata, Actinopteri, Syngnathiformes, Syngnathidae.